ACUGGGCGUAAGAGCUCGUAGGUGGUUUGUCGCGUUGUUCGUGAAAACUCACAGCUCAACUGUGGGCGUGCGGGCGAUACGGGCAGACUGGAGUACUGCAGGGGAGACUGGAAUUCCUGGUGUAGCGGUGGAAUGCGCAGAUAUCAGGAGGAACACCGGUGGCGAAGGCGGGUCUCUGGGCAGUAACUGACGCUGAGGAGCGAAAGCGUGGGGAGCGAACAGGAUUAGAUACCCUGGUAGUCCACGCCGUAAACGGUGGGUACUAGGUGUGGGUUUCCUUCCUUGGGAUCCGUGCCGUAGCUAACGCAUUAAGUACCCCGCCUGGGGAGUACGGCCGCAAGGCUAAAACUCAAAGAAAUUGACGGGGGCCCGCACAAGCGGCGGAGCAUGUGGAUUAAUUCGAUGCAACGCGAAGAACCUUACCUGGGUUUGACAUGCACAGGACGCCCGUAGAGAUAUGGGUUCCCUUGUGGCCUGUGUGCAGGUGGUGCAUGGCUGUCGUCAGCUCGUGUCGUGAGAUGUUGGGUUAAGUCCCGCAACGAGCGCAACCCUUGUCUCAUGUUGCCAGCGGGUAAUGCCGGGGACUCGUGAGAGACUGCCGGGGUCAACUCGGAGGAAGGUGGGGAUGACGUCAAGUCAUCAUGCCCCUUAUGUCCAGGGCUUCACACAUGCUACAAUGGCCGGUACAAAGGGCUGCGAUGCCGUGAGGUGGAGCGAAUCCUUUCAAAGCCGGUCUCAGUUCGGAUCGGGGUCUGCAACUCGACCCCGUGAAGUCGGAGUCGCUAGUAAUCGCAGAUCAGCAACGCUGCGGUGAAUACGUUCCCGGGCCUUGUACACACCGCCCGUCACGUCAUGAAAGUCGGUAACACCCGAAGCCGGUGGCCUAACCCCUCGUGGGAGGAGCCGUCGAAGUGGGAUCGGCGAUUGGGAC
Molecule: ribosomal RNA, 931 nt
Filed under: Mycobacterium sp.
Lineage: Bacteria; Bacillati; Actinomycetota; Actinomycetes; Mycobacteriales; Mycobacteriaceae
Description: bacterial SSU rRNA
Rfam family: Bacterial small subunit ribosomal RNA
Source: RNAcentral